CCAACGGCCCUCUUUAGGGCCACAAUUUUUCACGAAUGCUUAAAU
Non-coding RNA from Ancylostoma duodenale, 45 nucleotides. The record is from Rfam. Lineage: Eukaryota; Metazoa; Nematoda; Chromadorea; Rhabditida; Ancylostomatidae.